This 253-nucleotide ribosomal RNA is filed under the name uncultured bacterium. RNAcentral's name for it is "partial 16S ribosomal RNA". It matches the Rfam family "Bacterial small subunit ribosomal RNA", at positions 524 to 776 of the family's 1533-position model. The record is from RNAcentral.
UACGGGGGGUGCAAACGUUGCUCGGAAUUAUUGGGCGUAAAGCGCACGUAGGCGGUCUUGUAAGUCGGGUGUGAAAGCCCGGGGCUUAACCCCGGAAGUGCACUCGAAACUGCAAGGCUUGAGUAUGGAAGAGGGUCUCGGAAUUCCCGGUGUAGAGGCGAAAUUCGUAGAUAUCGGGAGGAACACCGGUGGCGAAGGCGGCGACCUGGGUUGACAUUGACGCUGAGGCGCGAAAGCGUGGGGAGCAAACAGG